RNAcentral lists this ribosomal RNA (868 nucleotides) under Alteromonadales bacterium. RNAcentral describes it as "bacterial SSU rRNA". It matches the Rfam family "Bacterial small subunit ribosomal RNA", at positions 617 to 1484 of the family's 1533-position model. Lineage: Bacteria; Pseudomonadati; Pseudomonadota; Gammaproteobacteria; Alteromonadales. The record is from RNAcentral.
GGAACUGCAUUUGAAACUGGUUGACUAGAGUUUUGUAGAGGGUGGUAGAAUUUCAGGUGUAGCGGUGAAAUGCGUAGAGAUCUGAAGGAAUACCAGUGGCGAAGGCGGCCACCUGGACAAAGACUGACACUGAGGCGCGAAGGCGUGGGGAGCAAACGGGAUUAGAUACCCCGGUAGUCCACGCAGUAAACGAUGUCUAUUAGAAGUUUGUGGCUAUAUGCCGUGGGUUUCAAAGCUAACGCAUUAAAUAGACCGCCUGGGGAGUACGGCCGCAAGGUUAAAACUCAAAUGAAUUGACGGGGGCCCGCACAAGCGGUGGAGCAUGUGGUUUAAUUCGAUGCAACGCGAAGAACCUUACCAUCCCUUGACAUCCAGAGAAUCACCUAGAGAUAGAUGAGUGCCUUCGGGAACUCUGAGACAGGUGCUGCAUGGCUGUCGUCAGCUCGUGUUGUGAAAUGUUGGGUUAAGUCCCGCAACGAGCGCAACCCUUAUCCUUAGUUGCCAGCACGUAAUGGUGGGAACUCUAGGGAGACUGCCGGUGAUAAACCGGAGGAAGGUGGGGACGACGUCAAGUCAUCAUGGCCCUUACGGGAUGGGCUACACACGUGCUACAAUGGCAAAUACAAAGGGUUGCUAACCUGCGAGGGUAUGCGAAUCUCAUAAAGUUUGUCGUAGUCCGGAUCGGAGUCUGCAACUCGACUCCGUGAAGUUGGAAUCGCUAGUAAUCGUGGAUCAGAAUGCCACGGUGAAUACGUUCCCGGGCCUUGUACACACCGCCCGUCACACCAUGGGAGUGGGCUGCACCAGAAGUCAUUAGCUUAACCUUCGGGAUGGCGAUGACCACGGUGUGGUUCAUGACUGGGGUGAA